RNAcentral lists this ribosomal RNA (497 nucleotides) under uncultured bacterium. RNAcentral describes it as "partial 16S ribosomal RNA". It matches the Rfam family "Bacterial small subunit ribosomal RNA", at positions 28 to 507 of the family's 1533-position model. The record is from RNAcentral.
GAUGAACGCUGGCGGCGUGCCUAAUACAUGCAAGUCGAGCGAACGGACGAGAAGCUUGCUUCUCUGAUGUUAGCGGCGGACGGGUGAGUAACACGUGGAUAACCUACCUAUAAGACUGGGAUAACUUCGGGAAACCGGAGCUAAUACCGGAUGAUAUUUUGAACCGCAUGGUUCAAAAGUGAAAGACGGUCUUGCUGUCACUUAUAGAUGGAUCCGCGCUGCAUUAGCUAGUUGGUAAGGUAACGGCUUACCAAGGCAACGAUGCAUAGCCGACCUGAGAGGGUGAUCGGCCACACUAGAACUGAGACACGGUCCAGACUCCUACGGGAGGCAGCAGUAGGGAAUCUUCCGCAAUGGGCGAAAGCCUGACGGAGCAACGCCGCGUGAGUGAUGAAGGUCUUCGGAUCGUAAAACUCUGUUAUUAGGGAAGAACAUAUGUGUAAGUAACUGUGCACAUCUUGACGGUACCUAAUCAGAAAGCCACGGCUAACUACGUG